This 434-nucleotide ribosomal RNA is filed under the name uncultured bacterium. Its description in RNAcentral is "partial 16S ribosomal RNA". It matches the Rfam family "Bacterial small subunit ribosomal RNA", at positions 29 to 507 of the family's 1533-position model. The record is from RNAcentral.
AGCGAACGCUGGCGGCAGGCCUAACACAUGCAAGUCGAACGAACCUUUCGGGGUUAGUGGCGGACGGGGGAAUAACACGUGGGAACGUGCCUUUAGGUUCGGAAUAACUCAGGGAAACUUGUGCUAAUACCGAAUGUGCCCUUCGGGGGAAAGAUUAAUCGCCUUUAGAGCGGCCCGCGUCUGAUUAGCUAGUUGGUUGAGGUAAUGGCUCACCAAGGCGACGAUCAGUAGCUGGUCUGAGAGGAUGAUCAGCCACAUUGGGACUGAGACACGGCCCAAACUCCUACGGGAGGCAGCAGUGGGGAAUCUUGCGCAAUGGGCGAAAGCCAGACGCAGCCAUGCCGCGUGAAUGAUGAAGGUCUUAGGAUUGUAAAAUUCUUUCACCGGGGACGAUAAUGACGGUACCCGGAGAAGAAGCCCCGGCUAACUUCGUG